UUCUCAUUCGUAUAACGGUCAGUAUGCUCGCUUGUCAUGAAGAUCGCGGGAGAUCGGAGUUCGAUUCUCCGAUGGGAAG
RNAcentral lists this transfer RNA (79 nucleotides) under Apiotrichum porosum. RNAcentral describes it as "tRNA-Asp". Lineage: Eukaryota; Fungi; Basidiomycota; Tremellomycetes; Trichosporonales; Trichosporonaceae. The record is from RNAcentral.